This 516-nucleotide long non-coding RNA is filed under the name Cervus hanglu yarkandensis (Yarkand deer). RNAcentral's name for it is "lncRNA (ENSCHYG00000004246.1)". Lineage: Eukaryota; Metazoa; Chordata; Mammalia; Artiodactyla; Cervidae. The record is from RNAcentral.
CGGCUCCUGGGCUCUGGGGUGCUCGGGUUUCAGCAGUCGUGGCUCCCAGGCUCCAGAGCACAAGCUCAGUAGUUGUGCCUUAAUUGCUCCAUGGAAUGUGGAAUCCCCCAAGACCAGGGAUCAAACCCAUGUCCCCUGCAUCGGCAAGCGGAUUCUUUACCACUGAGCCACCAGGGAAGCCCUUCUCUUGGAUUCUUCAUGGAGGAGGGAAGACAUGAUAAUUUUUUCAGCCUGGAGACCCUUGCAGAUCUUCCUGUAACCGUAGAGAAGGGCUCUGGGGUGGGCUGGAGGCUGACUCCCGUCUUCCCGCAGCAGCCGCAGCAUCAGGGCUUGAGGACAGAGGCCGGCAGAAGAGCUCCAGCCCGGCUGCUGACGCCCCGGAGGAAAGCUUGUACUGUGCCGUCACGGAAGACGCACGGCCGGAGCAGGGCAGAGCAAGGGCCAGCCAGGUGAGCCCCCCCGCCUCCUCACUCACGCACGGAGGGCAGAGGACAGACCCCGAGGCCAGGCAGCCCC